This 794-nucleotide ribosomal RNA is filed under the name uncultured bacterium. Its description in RNAcentral is "bacterial SSU rRNA". It matches the Rfam family "Bacterial small subunit ribosomal RNA", at positions 9 to 810 of the family's 1533-position model. The record is from RNAcentral.
GAGUUUGAUCCUGGAUCACAACCAACGUUGGCGGCGUGGAUUAGGCACCCACCUCCAACGAGUGCCGCUGGGGGUAACUCUGCGGCGCAAGUGGCGAGAGGGGCAGUAAGGUAUGGAUAACUUGCCCCGGAGUUCGGAAUAGCCUUCCUAACGGAUGGGAAAUACCGAAUGCCGUAUGUGAGGAGCAUUCUUUGCAUACUACAGCUCCGGCGCUCCGGGUGGGGUCCAUAUACUAUUACCUAGUUGGUAGGGCAACCGCCUACCCACGCCAAUAUGCUUAGCGUGUGUGACAGCACGACCUGCGCCACUGGCACUGCCACACUGGCCACACUCCUACGGGAGGCUGCAGUCGAGGAUCUUCGGCAAUGGGCGCAAGCCUGACCGAGCGACGCCACGUGUGCGAUGAUCGCCUUCGGGUUGUAAAGCACUGUCCAGGGGGAGAAAAGGGUAACAUUGAUCGGCCCCUGGAGGAAGCACGGGGUAAGUUCGUGCCAGCAGCCGCGGUAAGACGAACCGUGCGAACGUUGUUCGGAAUCACUGGGCUUAAAGGGCGCGUAGGCGGGCAAGCAAGUCAGAGGUGAAAUCCCACGGCUCAACCGUGGAAGAGCCCCUGGUACUGCAAGUCUUGAGGGAGGUAGGGGCGUGCGGAACUUCCGGUGGAGCGGUGAAAUGCGUAGAUAUCGGAAGGAACACCGGUGGCGAAAGCGGCGCGCUGGACCUCUACUGACGCUGAGGCGCGAAAGCCAGGGGAGCAAACGGGAUUAGAUACCCCGGUAGUCCUGGCCCUAAACGAU